RNAcentral lists this transfer RNA (73 nucleotides) under Myotis davidii. It matches the Rfam family "tRNA". From Rfam's summary of the family: Transfer RNA (tRNA) molecules are approximately 80 nucleotides in length. Their secondary structure includes four short double-helical elements and three loops (D, anti-codon, and T loops). Further hydrogen bonds mediate the characteristic L-shaped molecular structure. tRNAs have two regions of fundamental functional importance: the anti-codon, which is responsible for specific mRNA codon recognition, and the 3' end, to which the tRNAs corresponding amino acid is attached (by aminoacyl-tRNA synthetases). tRNAs cope with the degeneracy of the genetic code in two manners: having more than one tRNA (with a specific anti-codon) for a particular amino acid; and 'wobble' base-pairing, i.e. permitting non-standard base-pairing at the 3rd anti-codon position. Lineage: Eukaryota; Metazoa; Chordata; Mammalia; Chiroptera; Vespertilionidae. The record is from Rfam by way of RNAcentral.
GCCUGUGUGGUUCAGUGGCUAGAGCUUAGGCCCACGCACAGCAGGACCACAGGUUCGAGUCCUGUCAAGGGCA